RNAcentral lists this ribosomal RNA (433 nucleotides) under uncultured bacterium. RNAcentral's name for it is "partial 16S ribosomal RNA". It matches the Rfam family "Bacterial small subunit ribosomal RNA", at positions 29 to 507 of the family's 1533-position model. The record is from RNAcentral.
AACGAACGCUGGCGGCAUGCCUAACACAUGCAAGUCGAACGAGACCUUAGUAACUGGUGGCGCACGGGUGCGUAAAGCGUGGGAACCUGCCCGUAGGCACGGAAUAACACCCUGUCGUGGGUGCUAAUGCCGGGUAAUGUAUUCGGACACAAGAUUUAUCGCGCUUGUAGGGGCCGGCGUUGGUUUAGCUAGUUGGUAGGGUAAGAGCCUACCACGGCGACGAUCCAUAGCUGGUCUGAGAGGAAGAUCAGCCACACUGGGACUGAGACGCGGCGCAGACUCCUACGGGAGGGAGCAGUGGGGAAUAUUGGACAAUGGGCGAGAGGCUGAUCCAGCAAUGCCGCGAGAGUGAUGAAGGCCGUAGGGUUGUAAAGCUCUUUUACCCGGGAUGAUAAUGACAGUACCCGGAGAAUAAGCACCGGCUAACUCCGUG